GCCUCGGUAGUGUAAUGGGUCUGCACGGCAGACCUGGUAUCUGUUAGUGCGAGUUCGAGCCCGCCUAAGGUU
RNAcentral lists this transfer RNA (72 nucleotides) under Dictyocaulus viviparus (bovine lungworm). It matches the Rfam family "tRNA". Rfam says of the family: Transfer RNA (tRNA) molecules are approximately 80 nucleotides in length. Lineage: Eukaryota; Metazoa; Nematoda; Chromadorea; Rhabditida; Metastrongylidae. The record is from Rfam by way of RNAcentral.